This 54-nucleotide transfer RNA is filed under the name Cautires sp. UPOL 000122. Its description in RNAcentral is "partial tRNA-Ser". Lineage: Eukaryota; Metazoa; Arthropoda; Insecta; Coleoptera; Lycidae. The record is from RNAcentral.
AAAGAAAUAUUUUAAAAAAGCUUCUAACUUUUAUCCAAGCAUUAAUAUGUUUAU